AUGGGAGGUCAGGCAAGGAUCAGGCAUGGAGCGGGAGCAUGAUGGGAAUGGGAGUCAAGGCAGGGGUGAGGCAGGAGCGGAGCAGGAAUCAAAAACAGGGUUGGCACAGGAGGUAGGCACAAGCAGGGUCCAAUGCAGCAACAAUAGGAAAUCACCUUGUUGCUCAGACAGACUUCCUGUGCCUCCUUCUGGCUUAAAUAGUGUGGUUGGACCAAUUGGUGAAGCCAGGCGAUCCUCCAAUCAGGGUUCCUGUGGGUGGUGCCUUGGCGGAUGCUAUAGUCCUACUAGCUUCUCAGCCCACCAGGUUUCAGCAGAUGUUGGGUGUGGUCCAGGAUGCAGCAGCUGUUUAGGGACUCCCAGGCCUAGGUUCAAGACCUGGAACAUCACCCUUCCCUUCUCUCUCUGUCACCGCUCCAUGCAUCUUGUCAAUCCAUACCCAUCUGCUUCCUGGGCACCAGACACCUCUGAAGAAAGUCCAGGGACCAUGUGGACUUCCUCCACCACACAUUUGUUCUCUCUUAUCUUUCAGUUUUGGCAUCACCCUUGCCAAAGAACUUCCUAUCUCUUCCCUAAUUGGCUUCAGUGCCCAUCACCUCUUCACUUUUCUUCCUCUCAUUCCCUCUCCUCUCCCCUUCUUCCCCUGUCUUCCUCUGGGCACAAGAACUUGCCAAAAUUUUCAGAGGCAGGGAUGACACUAUCAGUGGUGAGCUCCAUCCCCCUCCUUGCAUCUAUCCUCACUCAGCCUCAUUCCCAGUUUCUCUCAUCCAGCUCUGUUCCUGCUCUCAGUCGGCACCAGUCUGUAAUGAAUCCACAUGCAGCAAACAACAGCCACAAUGUCAGGGAGAAUCUCUCUUCUCUUCUCUCUCACAUAUCCAGAUCCUUCAGCUCCAAAAGCAUAGGCUUGUACCACUUGGGCUAAAAGAGGUCUUCCACAGUUGGAACGCUUCCCUGCCAGACAGCCGCUAGAGGGCAGCAUCUCACUAGCAAAGCUACAUUGCCUCUGCAUUG
RNAcentral lists this long non-coding RNA (1008 nucleotides) under Chrysemys picta bellii (western painted turtle). RNAcentral's name for it is "lncRNA (ENSCPBG00000025610.1)". Lineage: Eukaryota; Metazoa; Chordata; Testudines; Emydidae. The record is from RNAcentral.